Molecule: long non-coding RNA, 466 nt
Organism: Daphnia magna
Lineage: Eukaryota; Metazoa; Arthropoda; Branchiopoda; Diplostraca; Daphniidae
Exons: 3
Source: RefSeq, a predicted model, not a curated record
GGAAGUUCAGUUCAGCCGAAUCUUUUUACUGCCUUGACUUACGUAUUGAAGAAGAUUCAUCAUCUGCCUAGGAGUAUAUUCCUUCAACAAAGGCAUAAACAAAAUUAUUAGCUGCUGACGACGCGAAUUUCUUAAAUUAAUGACAACGAAUUUUCAGGUAAAUAAUAUGCCUUUAUGUAUGUUUCGACAAUAUGUGGGUCAGGAAGAGGUCUUAGACGUGUCAAGCUUUCCACUUUGACUUGAAAAUGCCUGAAGUCUAACUGCAUUAGUGCACGACCUUCGUUCGUGCAUUUUCUUACAGCGGAAAAUCUAAAGAAUUUCAGAUCGGAUACGGUCUUACAUAAAGGAGGCAGAAUCUGAGGGUAACAGACACAAAGGACACUCGAGUCGUAGUCACUGAGAACCUGCAAAAGAAAUAAGAAUUACAUCAUAGAUGGAAUAUGAUUUUGAUAGCUUUUUGUUUCAA